RNAcentral lists this ribosomal RNA (563 nucleotides) under uncultured archaeon. RNAcentral's name for it is "bacterial SSU rRNA". It matches the Rfam family "Archaeal small subunit ribosomal RNA", at positions 312 to 879 of the family's 1478-position model. The record is from RNAcentral.
CGCGAUUCGCCCUUCGGGGUGCAGCAGGCGCGAAAACUUUCAAUGCGGGAAACCGUGAUAAGGGGACACCGAGUGCCAGCAUCAUAUGCUGGCUGUCCAGGUGUGUAAAAUACACCUGUCAGCAAGGGCCGGGCAAGACCGGUGCCAGCCGCGGUAACACCGGCGGCCCGAGUGGUGAUCGUGAUUAUUGGGUCUAAAGGGUCCGUAGCCGGUUUGGUCAGUCCUCCCGGAAAUCUGACGGCUCAACCGUUAGGCUUUCGGGGGAUACUGCCAGGCUUGGAACCGGGAGAAGUAAAAGGUACUACAGGGGUAGGAGUGAAAUCUUGUAAUCCCUGUGAGACCACCUGUGGCGAAGGCGUCUUACCAGAACGGGUUCGACGGUGAGGGACGAAAGCUGGGGGCACGAACCGGAUUAGAUACCCGGGUAGUCCCAGCCGUAAACGAUGCUCGCUAGGUGUCAGGCAUGGCGCGACCGUGUCUGGUGCCGCAGGGAAGCCGUGAAGCGAGCCACCUGGGAAGUACGGCCGCAAGGCUGAAACUUAAAGGAAUUGGCGGGGGAGCAC